Molecule: ribosomal RNA, 420 nt
Filed under: uncultured Nitrososphaerota archaeon
Lineage: Archaea; Thermoproteati; Nitrososphaerota
Description: bacterial SSU rRNA
Rfam family: Archaeal small subunit ribosomal RNA
Source: RNAcentral
CAGCCGCCGCGGUAACACCAGCCCCUCGAGUGGUGGGGAUGAUUAUUUGGCCUAAAGCGUCCGUAGCCGGCCGAGCAAGUCUUCCGUUAAAUCCAGCGUCUCAAGCGUUGGACCGCGGGAGAUACUACACGGCUAGAGAGUGGGAGAGGUCAGCGGUGUUCUGGGGGUAGGGGCGAAAUCCUUUGAUCCCCGGAGGACCACCAGUGGCGAAGGCUGCUGACUAGAACACGUCUGACGGUCAGGGACGAAAGCUGGGGUAGCGAACCGGAUUAGAUACCCGGGUAGUCCCAGCCGUAAACGAUGCAUGCUAGGUGUUGGGUUGGCCACGAGCCACCCCAGUGCCGCAGGGAAGCCGUUAAGCAUGCCGCCUGGGAAGUACGAUCGCAAGAUUGAAACUUAAAGGAAUUGGCGGGGGAGCAC